UACGUAGGGGGCAAGCGUUGUCCGGAUUUACUGGGCGUAAAGGGCGUGCAGGCGGUCUGUUAAGUCUAGGGUGAAAGCUCCCGGCUCAACUGGGAGAGGUCCUUGGAUACUGGCGGACUUGAGGGAGGUAGAGGAAAGUGGAAUUCCCGGUGUAGUGGUGAUAUGCGUAGAUAUCGGCAGGAACACCCAGGGGGAAACCAGUGGACUGGGCAUGUGCUGACGCUCAGGUGCGAAAGCGUGGGGAGCGAACCGG
RNAcentral lists this ribosomal RNA (253 nucleotides) under uncultured bacterium. Its description in RNAcentral is "partial 16S ribosomal RNA". It matches the Rfam family "Bacterial small subunit ribosomal RNA", at positions 524 to 776 of the family's 1533-position model. The record is from RNAcentral.